This 200-nucleotide long non-coding RNA is filed under the name Gossypium barbadense (sea-island cotton). RNAcentral's name for it is "long non-coding RNA (GBAR_LNC000252)". Lineage: Eukaryota; Viridiplantae; Streptophyta; Magnoliopsida; Malvales; Malvaceae. The record is from RNAcentral.
AUCUCACCUUUCUGAAGUUACAGUGAAGUAGAUCGAAGCCAUAAAUUUCAUAUCCUUGAAGUUACAUUGGAAUAGAUUGAAUCUACAAGGCGUAUAGCAUAAGAUGCAGUGGAGUGAACCAAAGAGACAAGAUGCGGUGGACUGAAAAGGGACUAACUAAACAAGAAGAGUUCUAAAGCAAGUCAAGACCUAGCAAGACC